AGAGUUUGAUCAUGGCUCAGGAUGAACGCUGGCGGCGUGCCUAACACAUGCAAGUCGAGCGAUCUUCUUCGGAAGAGAGCGGCGGACGGGUGAGUAACGCGUGGGUAACCUGCCUCAUACACAUGGAUAACAUACCGAAAGGUAUGCUAAUACAAGAUGAUAUAAGAGAUUCGCAUGGAUUUCUUAUCAAAGCUCCGGCGGUAUGAGAUGGACCCGCGUCUGAUUAGCUAGUUGGUAAGGUAACGGCUUACCAAGGCGACGAUCAGUAGCCGACCUGAGAGGGUGAUCGGCCACAUUGGAACUGAGACACGGUCCAAACUCCUACGGGAGGCAGCAGUGGGGAAUAUUGCACAAUGGGCGAAAGCCUGAUGCAGCAACGCCGCGUGAGCGACGAAGGCCUUCGGGUCGUAAAGCUCUGUCCUCAAGGAAGAUAAUGACGGUACUUGAGGAGGAAGCCCCGGCUAACUACGUGCCAGCAGCCGCGGUAAUACGUAGGGGGCUAGCGUUAUCCGGAUUUACUGGGCGUAAAGGGUGCGUAGGUGGUUUCUUAAGUCAGGAGUGAAAGGCUACGGCUCAACCGUAGUAAGCUCUUGAAACUGGGAAACUUGAGUGCAGGAGAGGAAAGUGGAAUUCCUAGUGUAGCGGUGAAAUGCGUAGAUAUUAGGAGGAACACCAGUAGCGAAGGCGGCUUUCUGGACUGUAACUGACACUGAGGCACGAAAGCGUGGGGAGCAAACAGGAUUAGAUACCCUGGUAGUCCACGCUGUAAACGAUGAGUACUAGGUGUCGGGGGUUACCCCCCUCGGUGCCGCAGCUAACGCAUUAAGUACUCCGCCUGGGGAGUACGCUCGCAAGAGUGAAACUCAAAGGAAUUGACGG
This 879-nucleotide ribosomal RNA is filed under the name uncultured bacterium. RNAcentral's name for it is "bacterial SSU rRNA". It matches the Rfam family "Bacterial small subunit ribosomal RNA", at positions 8 to 916 of the family's 1533-position model. The record is from RNAcentral.